RNAcentral lists this ribosomal RNA (425 nucleotides) under uncultured bacterium. RNAcentral describes it as "bacterial SSU rRNA". It matches the Rfam family "Bacterial small subunit ribosomal RNA", at positions 354 to 796 of the family's 1533-position model. The record is from RNAcentral.
GUGGGGAAUCUUGCGCAAUGGGCGAAAGCCUGACGCAGCCAUGCCGCGUGAAUGAUGAAGGUCUUAGGAUUGUAAAAUUCUUUCACCGGGGACGAUAAUGACGGUACCCGGAGAAGAAGCCCCGGCUAACUUCGUGCCAGCAGCCGCGGUAAUACGAAGGGGGCUAGCGUUGCUCGGAAUUACUGGGCGUAAAGGGCGCGUAGGCGGACAGUUUAGUCAGAGGUGAAAGCCCAGGGCUCAACCUUGGAAUUGCCUUUGAUACUGGCUGUCUUGAGUACGGGAGAGGUGAGUGGAACUCCGAGUGUAGAGGUGAAAUUCGUAGAUAUUCGGAAGAACACCAGUGGCGAAGGCGACUCACUGGCCCGUUACUGACGCUGAGGCGCGAAAGCGUGGGGAGCAAACAGGAUUAGAUACCCCAGUAGUCC